RNAcentral lists this ribosomal RNA (440 nucleotides) under uncultured bacterium. RNAcentral's name for it is "partial 16S ribosomal RNA". It matches the Rfam family "Bacterial small subunit ribosomal RNA", at positions 338 to 795 of the family's 1533-position model. The record is from RNAcentral.
CCUACGGGUGGCAGCAGUGGGGAAUAUUGCACAAUGGGGGAAACCCUGAUGCAGCGACGCCGCGUGAGUGAAGAAGUAUUUCGGUAUGUAAAGCUCUAUCAGCAGGGAAGAUAAUGACGGUAGCGGACUAAGAAGCCCCGGCUAACUACGUGCCAGCAGCCGCGGUAAUACGAAGGGGGCAAGCGUUAUUCGGAUUUACUGGGUGUAAAGGGAGUGUAGGUGGAAGUGCAAGACAGAUGUGAAAACCCGGGGCUCAACCCCGGGAGUGCAAUUGAGACUGUCCAGCUGGAGUGCAGGAGAGGUUAGCGGAAUUCCUAGUGUAGCGGUGAAAUGCAUAGAUAUUAGGUGGAACACCAGUGGCGAAGGCGGCUUACUGGACUGUAACUGACGCUGAGGCUCGAAAGCGUGGGGAGCAAACAGGAUUAGAUACCCCAGUAGUC